AAUUUCUUGUCAACUCCCUCCUGCACACAGACAGAAAGAAAUUCCCAUUGCAGGGGGUCGUGAGUCUCUGGCGAAGGAGCCAGGGUUACCAGACAAGUGCCUGGCCGUACAGGAGCUCCAGCAUGUUCCGGACGAUGUUGAACUCCAGCGCCCCCUUCCUCUUCAGCACUUUCUGUAAAAAACACCUGGGGACAAGCGGAGAUAUUCCUCAGAGAAAAAGACACACCUCACACAUUGGGGUGGUGAGGGAGGGGCCGCCAAGUGUGUCUAACCAGAAGGUUGUUAGUUCUAAUCCCUGGAAGGAUCCUGCUGCAGGACCCGUCAGCAAGGUGCUUAACCUCACUUAUUUGAAAUAUCCAGCUAUGGAACUAAUUGUUAGAAGUGGACUGUUCUCCAGAAAGAACAAAGGAUUUUGUUUCAACCAACAGUUGAGUAUUAAAUGUUAGUCACGGAGUAUUCAGCUUGUUGGUUGAGAGAAAAUACUGGUCUGUUUUUUUUUACUUUCUGCGCCUCUCCACCUUGGUUCAUUGUCAGCUAAAAAUGCAUGAAUAAAGCUGGCUUGUCAAUGCACAUGGACUAGCAGGGAAUGUUCCCUAUCAGUCCUGUGGGAUUGUCAGCUAAAUUUAACCUGAA
This is a long non-coding RNA of Brienomyrus brachyistius, 633 nucleotides long. RefSeq lists it as uncharacterized. The transcript has 2 exons. The record is from RefSeq and is a predicted model, not a curated record. NCBI's taxonomy places the organism in Eukaryota, Metazoa, Chordata, Actinopteri, Osteoglossiformes, Mormyridae.